This is an RNA transcript of Brachypodium distachyon (stiff brome), 1330 nucleotides long. It is a transcript of the gene named serine carboxypeptidase-like 18, with no coding region annotated. The transcript is spliced from 8 exons. NCBI's taxonomy places the organism in Eukaryota, Viridiplantae, Streptophyta, Magnoliopsida, Poales, Poaceae. The record is from RefSeq and is a predicted model, not a curated record.
AUGUGAACAUUGCAGCUUAACGAAACCUUCAACGAGAAAACCAUGGACGCGCAAGUUCCUCUGCCCCUGAUGCUUCUACGGCUCGUCUUCCUCCUCUGCUUCUUCUCCACUCUGCCACGCUACUGCCGCCGUCUCUUCUCCGUCGAGGCUGCUGCUCCGACGCUGGUCUCCAGCCUCCCGGGCUUCGACGGCGCCCUCCCUUUCCGCCUAGAGACCGGGUAUGUCGCCGUGGACGAGGAGAACGGCUCGGAGCUGUUCUACUACUUCAUCGAGUCGGAGGGCAACCCGCGGCGCGACCCGGUGAUCCUUUGGCUCACCGGCGGCGACCGCUGCACCGUGCUCAGCGGUUUGUUUUUCGAGAUAGGCCCGUUGAAAUUCGUCGUCGAGCCCUUCAAUGGAGGCAUACCACGGCUGCGGUACCAUCCCUACUCCUGGACAAAGGCGGCGAGUGUCCUGUUCGUCGAUUCGCCGGUCGGUGCCGGGUUCUCCUUCUCCAAGAAACCAGAAGGCUAUGAUGUUGGAGAUGUGUCUGCUUCUCUGCAGCUCAGAAAGUUCAUCACCAAGUGGUUCUCUGAGCAUCAAGAUUUCCUCGUGAAUCCUUUCUACGUCGGUGGAGACUCCUACGGUGGAAAGAUCGCUCCAUUCCUCAUGCAGAAGAUCUCAGAAGAUAUUGAAGCUGAACUGAGGCCGACUAUUAAUCUUAAGAAAUGGUCAGGGCUACCUUGUGGGUAACCCGGGUACAGGUGAACGCAUUGAUACUGAAUCUAGAGUGCCUUUUCUUCAUGGAAUGGGAAUAAUUUCAGAUCAACUGUACGAGGAUGCUAUGUUGACUAGAGAUUGCAUGCACAGGAAAAAUUGGUUUGCAUAAAGGGAAUGAUGCUGAAGCACUGAAGGAAGGAGCCGAGAAACUCAUUCACAAUGCACAGGAGCUCAUGCGUGCUCUGCAAGAAGGAAGCCAGGCGCCUGGUGUCAAUGCUCCAAGUCUUCCAGCUAUCUGAUGCUGCGUUGUGCUCUUUGAUGUUCUGGUGGCCUUAAUUGUUUCGUUUUGGCUCUACUUCGUUUGCCCGUCUACUAAUGGGAUCUGUAAUUUUGAGAACUCUUAAAUUCUUGUGUUAGGUCAGUAGUUAGGCACAGGUUUUUGUCCUGUAGUCAGCGUUUUGAUUGCGAGCGCUGUCAGCGGGUUUCCUGCCCACGUAUUAGGCUCCUUUGUUUUCCUCCCCUGUUUCACUUUCCUGAUGUCAUGGACAAUGUAUUUCCGUUAUGCAAGUAAUGGAAAGAGGCGAGGAGCCCGGGUGUUAGCUGCUACGGGCGACCGCAUUCGUUUUCAGCA